Molecule: transfer RNA, 76 nt
Filed under: Candidatus Liberibacter europaeus
Lineage: Bacteria; Pseudomonadati; Pseudomonadota; Alphaproteobacteria; Hyphomicrobiales; Rhizobiaceae
Description: tRNA-Met
Rfam family: tRNA
About the family: Transfer RNA (tRNA) molecules are approximately 80 nucleotides in length.
Source: RNAcentral
GGGCCUGUAGCUCAAUGGUUAGAGCCAACGGCUCAUAACCGUUAGGUUGGGGGUUCGAGUCCCUCCGGGCCCACCA